AAUUCGGAUUAAUACUCCAUAAUAAAUUGAGUGGCAUCACUUGAUUUUGAAAGUUCCGACGGUGAUGGAUGAACAUGCGACUGAUUAGUUAGUUGGUGAGGUAACGGCUCACCAAGACCACGAUCAGUAGGGGUACUGAGAGGUUAAACCCCCACACUGGUACUGAGACACGGACCAGACUCCUACGGGAGGCAGCAGUAAGGAAUAUUGGACAAUGGCCGCAAGGCUGAUCCAGCCAUGCCGCGUGCAGGAAGACGGACCUAUGGUUUGUAAACUGCUUUUGAACUAGAGAAAACCCCUUUACGUGUAAAGGGCUGAUAGUAUAGUUAGAAUAAGCAUCGGCUAACUUCGUGCCAGCAGCCGCGGUAAGACGAAGGAUGCAAGCGUUAUCCGGAUUCAUUGGGUUUAAAGGGAGCGUAGGCGGACUUGUAAGUCAGUGGUGAAAUCUUUGGGCUUAACCCAGAAACUGCCAUUGAUACUGCAGGUCUAGAGUACAGUUGCCGUUGGCGGAAUAUGACAUGUAGUGGUGAAAUACUUAGAUAUGUCAUAGAACACCGAUUGCGAAGGCAGCUAACGAAGCUGUAACUGACGCUGAGGCUCGAAAGUGCGGGGAUCAAACAGGAUUAGAUACCCUGGUAGUCCGCACUGUAAACGAUGAUACUCGUUGCUGGGAGGUAACUUUCAGUGACCAAGCGAAAGCGAUAAGUAAUCCACCUGGGGAGUACGCCGGCAACGGUGAAACUCAAAGGAAUUGACGGGGGCCCGCACAAGCGGAGGAGCAUGUGGUUUAAUUCGAUGAUACGCGAGGAACCUUACCAGGGCUUGAAAGUUAGUGA
This 836-nucleotide ribosomal RNA is filed under the name uncultured Bacteroidota bacterium. RNAcentral describes it as "bacterial SSU rRNA". It matches the Rfam family "Bacterial small subunit ribosomal RNA", at positions 155 to 994 of the family's 1533-position model. Lineage: Bacteria; Pseudomonadati; Bacteroidota. The record is from RNAcentral.